GUGGUUUUGUGUCUUAGGAGACUUAUAAAUUCAGUAAGGCCUAAAUUAACUUGUCAUACUGAAUUCCAGGCACAGUGUAAAAUUAUUUCAUGUCCAGGAAAGUUAAAAUAUUCUGUUUAAAUAUUCUUCACAAAUCUCUCUGAUGUCUCUUGAAAUUCCAUAGGAGGAAAAGCUCAGUUCCAAGACCCUCAGGGAGGCUGAACACCUGCGUCUGGAAGUUAGUCUGCUGUUAUGAAAAGGUUAAUGUGGAAUCAAGCCUGCUCAAGCAGAAAAAGGAUAUGAAGCUGGAACUCCCACAUCCCAACAGUACGUCCUCCUUGGACUUCCCAUGCACAUGUUCCUUUCUCUACCCUGUCAACCUAAUCUACCAGCUCCUCUGCAGAAUACUCCUUCUAGCUUUGCCUGCAGAUAUCGGGCAAAGGAAUUGUCUAAGCAUUUCUGCACUCAAAGAAAAAAGUCAACAAACUCCUGGCUUUUUGCCAAAACAGAGGCAUUCUAGAAAGAUUUUCAUCUGAGAUACUGCAGUAGCAGCAUUUGCUUUUGUGAAUGGAAGCUACUAUUUCUAACUAUGAAGCAGUUCCCAUCAGUCUGUACUUUAAGGACAUUUUAAAAACGUUCCCCAUUCACCACCUUCACAAAAUUCUUCUAUUUUUCAAUAAUUAAAGCAACGUAUUUCUCAACGACCUGAAUAAUAUACUAGCAAUGAAUAAAUCAUUUGACCCAAAGGCCA
This 730-nucleotide long non-coding RNA is filed under the name Struthio camelus australis. RNAcentral's name for it is "lncRNA (ENSSCUG00000016511.1)". Lineage: Eukaryota; Metazoa; Chordata; Aves; Struthioniformes; Struthionidae. The record is from RNAcentral.